This 1017-nucleotide long non-coding RNA is filed under the name Elaeis guineensis (African oil palm). Its description in RNAcentral is "long non-coding RNA (EGUI_LNC010555)". Lineage: Eukaryota; Viridiplantae; Streptophyta; Magnoliopsida; Arecales; Arecaceae. The record is from RNAcentral.
ACUGCCAUAGAACACAUAGGCCCUCAAUGUCACAGGAAACCUCCAAAACACUGGAUACAACAGUUUCCAAGCUAUGGAUAUGUAGCUUGAUGCAAGAAACUGUAUCUACAGAUGAUUAUCUCUUAUGCAACUCCACAGCAUCUUAAUAGUUGAAAUUCUAACAAACAAUAACCAACACAUGUUACAAAAAAUUAGAGAUCAAACUCACAAAGCCACUAGAGACAAAUGUUUCAACAUGAUAGAUACACAGCUUGGUGCAGGAAACUACGUUAGCAGCUGGUAAAGUUUCAUGCAACUCCCAAGAGUCCUUAAUCUAUGGGGCAACAUGACAAAUUAUAUCCAAGACACGUCAAUUUUGACUUUGACUGGAUCUUGCCCCACCCCUUUCAAUGUUCAAACUUCAAAGCACCAAAUUGGUUAAAAAAUUCUAGUCUUACAUUAUGACAGUAUGACCUUUCUCAAUCUUCUCAUCUGCCCAUAAGGUUCUGCCUUCAUAACUUGUGAGAUCAGGAUACCACUUUAAGCCAUAUGUCAAGCGUCUAGCUUAUGAUGGAAUCAUCCUCUUUUUAAAGGAGCUUCAGAACCCUGGCAAAACUUAAAGUUAACAUUGUACUUUUGGUUUUCCUAACAUAGACAGCCCUAUUACACCAUCGAGUCUCAUGCACUAAUACAAAGACCAAAAUCAAGUGACAGAUCAUACCUUUGUUGCCUUAUCUAUAUUCCACCACCUGUGAAAUGUUACCACUGAAAAAUUGUUCAGAUUGCCGACAAUAUGAAUUUCACUAAUGGAAUAAGCAUAUCAACAUUGAUUUGGCCUUCUUCUUACAAAAUCAACAUGUUAACCUUCUCACUAUAUGUAGCCUAUUUAGCAACUUGCUGACCUAUUCGCAAUUACUAGUAUUGCUUCAAAUAAAAAACAUCGGCAAACUCUAGGAAGCAAGAUGAGUCUAACACAGCAUUAAAGAUAUUGAAUAGUGUAGGCACGCAAGUUAUAUGCUUAUAUAAGCCCAACAUAGC